RNAcentral lists this ribosomal RNA (253 nucleotides) under uncultured bacterium. Its description in RNAcentral is "partial 16S ribosomal RNA". It matches the Rfam family "Bacterial small subunit ribosomal RNA", at positions 524 to 776 of the family's 1533-position model. The record is from RNAcentral.
UACGAAGGGGGCUAGCGUUGCUCGGAAUUACUGGGCGUAAAGCGCACGUAGGCGGCUUUCUAAGUCGGGGGUGAAAUCCUGGAGCUCAACUCCAGAACUGCCUUCGAUACUGGAAAGCUCGAGUCCGGGAGAGGUGAGUGGAACUGCGAGUGUAGAGGUGAAAUUCGUAGAUAUUCGCAAGAACACCAGUGGCGAAGGCGGCUCUCUGGACCGAGACUGACGCUGAGGCGCGAAAGCGUGGGGAGCAAACAGG